RNAcentral lists this ribosomal RNA (483 nucleotides) under uncultured bacterium. Its description in RNAcentral is "bacterial SSU rRNA". It matches the Rfam family "Bacterial small subunit ribosomal RNA", at positions 24 to 507 of the family's 1533-position model. The record is from RNAcentral.
UCCGGACGAACGCUGGCGGCGUGCUUAACACAUGGCAAGUCGAACGAUGAAGGGGAGCUUGCUCCCUGGAUUAGUGGCGAACGGGUGAGUAACACGUGAGCAACCUGCCCCUAACUCUGGGAUAACGCUUCGAAAGGAGUGCUAAUACCGGAUAUGAGCCUGGAAGACAUCUUCUGGGUUGGAAAGUUUUCGGUUAGGGAUGGGCAUGCGUCCAAUUAGCUAGUUGGUGAGGUAACGGCUCACCAAGGCAAUGAUUGGUAGGGGAACUGAGAGGUCAAUCCCCCACACUGGCACUGAGAUACGGGCCAGACUCCUACGGGAGGCAGCAGUAGGGAAUAUUGGGCAAUGGACGCAAGUCUGACCCAGCCAUGCCGCGUGCAGGAUGAAGGCGUUAUGCGUUGUAAACUGCUUUUAUACAGGAAGAAACGACUCUUGCGAGAGGCAUUGACGGUACUGUAUGAAUAAGCACCGGCUAACUCCGUG